GAGUAAUGUCUGGGAAACUGCCUGAUGGAGGGGGAUAACUACUGGAAACGGUGGCUAAUACCGCAUAACGUCGCAAGACCAAAGAGGGGGACCUUCGGGCCUCUUGCCAUCAGAUGUGCCCAGAUGGGAUUAGCUUGUUGGUGAGGUAACGGCUCACCAAGGCGACGAUCCCUAGCUGGUCUGAGAGGAUGACCAGCCACACUGGAACUGAGACACGGUCCAGACUCCUACGGGAGGCAGCAGUGGGGAAUAUUGCACAAUGGGCGCAAGCCUGAUGCAGCCAUGCCGCGUGUAUGAAGAAGGCCUUCGGGUUGUAAAGUACUUUCAGCGGGGAGGAAGGUGUUGUGGUUAAUAACCGCAGCAAUUGACGUUACCCGCAGAAGAAGCACCGGCUAACUCCGUGCCAGCAGCCGCGGUAAUACGGAGGGUGCAAGCGUUAAUCGGAAUUACUGGGCGUAAAGCGCACGCAGGCGGUCUGUCAAGUCGGAUGUGAAAUCCCCGGGCUCAACCUGGGAACUGCAUUCGAAACUGGCAGGCUUGAGUCUUGUAGAGGGGGGUAGAAUUCCAGGUGUAGCGGUGAAAUGCGUAGAGAUCUGGAGGAAUACCGGUGGCGAAGGCGGCCCCCUGGACAAAGACUGACGCUCAGGUGCGAAAGCGUGGGGAGCAAACAGGAUUAGAUACCCU
RNAcentral lists this ribosomal RNA (684 nucleotides) under Salmonella enterica subsp. enterica serovar Oranienburg. RNAcentral's name for it is "bacterial SSU rRNA". It matches the Rfam family "Bacterial small subunit ribosomal RNA", at positions 108 to 788 of the family's 1533-position model. RNAcentral also lists the same sequence under 2 other names. Lineage: Bacteria; Pseudomonadati; Pseudomonadota; Gammaproteobacteria; Enterobacterales; Enterobacteriaceae. The record is from RNAcentral.